This 422-nucleotide ribosomal RNA is filed under the name uncultured bacterium. RNAcentral describes it as "bacterial SSU rRNA". It matches the Rfam family "Bacterial small subunit ribosomal RNA", at positions 355 to 774 of the family's 1533-position model. The record is from RNAcentral.
UAAGGAAUAUUGGACAAUGGAGGCAACUCUGAUCCAGCCAUGCCGCGUGAAGGAAUAAGGCCCUAUGGGUUGUAAACUUCUUUUAGACGGGACAAAACCCCUUUACGUGUAAAGGGUUGAUGGUACUGUCAGAAUAAGCAUCGGCUAACUUCGUGCCAGCAGCCGCGGUAAUACGAAGGAUGCAAGCGUUAUCCGGAGUUACUGGGCGUAAAGCGCGCGCAGGCGGUUCGUUAAGUGGGGCGUGAAAGCCCCGCGCUAAACGCGGGGAGGACGAACCAUACUGAUGGACUGGAGUGGAGCAGAGGGACAUGGAAUUCCGGGUGUAGCGGUGAAAUGUGCAGAUAUCCGGAGGAACACCAGAGGUGAAAACGGUGUCCUGGGCUCACACUGACGCUGAGGCGCGAAAGCGUGGGGAGCAAACA